AUUAUUUGUGUUUUAGCCUGGUGGCGAUGGCAACACAAGUAUGUUCAGCCAAAGCGUUCAGGAAUAGCUCCAUUUUUCCAAGUUGUGACUGGUGCAAUGUUGUUCUUCUAUGUAAUUAACUAUGGAAAACUGAGUAAGUUUAA
Non-coding RNA from Zootermopsis nevadensis, 143 nucleotides. The record is from Rfam. NCBI's taxonomy places the organism in Eukaryota, Metazoa, Arthropoda, Insecta, Blattodea, Termopsidae.